ACUCCUACGGGAGGCAGCAGUGGGGAAUAUUGCACAAUGGGGGAAACCCUGAUGCAGCCAUGCCGCGUGUGUGAAGAAGGCCUUCGGGUUGUAAAGCACUUUCAGUAGGGAGGAAGGUAGUGUAGUUAACACCUGCACUAUUUGACGUUACCUACAGAAGAAGCACCGGCUAACUCCGUGCCAGCAGCCGCGGUAAUACGGAGGGUGCGAGCGUUAAUCGGAAUUACUGGGCGUAAAGCGCAUGCAGGCGGCCUGUUAAGUCAGAUGUGAAAGCCCGGGGCUUAAACCUCGGAAAUUGCAUUUGAAACUGGCAAGGCUAGAGUCUUGUAGAGGGGGGUAGAAUUUCAGGUGUAGCGGUGAAAUGCGUAGAGAUCUGAAGGAAUACCAGUGGCG
Molecule: ribosomal RNA, 393 nt
Filed under: uncultured bacterium
Lineage: Bacteria
Description: bacterial SSU rRNA
Rfam family: Bacterial small subunit ribosomal RNA
Source: RNAcentral